UAGGGAAUAUUGCACAAUGGGCGAAAGCCUGAUGCAGCAACGCCGCGUGCGCGAUGAAGGCCUUCGGGUCGUAAAGCGCUUUUCGGGGAGAUGAGGAAGGACAGUAUCCCCGGAAUAAGGCUCGGCUAACUACGUGCCAGCAGCCGCGGUAAAACGUAGGAGCCUAGCGUUAUCCGAAUUUACUGGGCGUAAAGCGCGUGCAGGCGGUUCGGUAAGUUGGGUGUGAAAUCUCCUGGCUCAACUAGGAGAGGUCGCUCAAUACUGUCGAACUAGAGGAUGGUAGAGGGAGGUGGAAUUCCCGGUGUAGUGGUGAGAUGCGUAGAUAUCGGGAGGAAUACCAGUGGCGAAGGCGGCCUCCUGGGCCAUACCUGACGCUCAGACGCGAAAGCUAGGGGAGCAAACGGGAUUAGAAACCCCGGUAGUCCUAGCAGUAAACGAUGUGGACUUGGCGUUGGUGGGGUAAAAUCCAUCAGUGCCGGAGCUAACGCGGUAAGUCCACCGCCUGGGGACUACGGCCGCAAGGUUA
RNAcentral lists this ribosomal RNA (526 nucleotides) under uncultured bacterium. RNAcentral's name for it is "bacterial SSU rRNA". It matches the Rfam family "Bacterial small subunit ribosomal RNA", at positions 355 to 896 of the family's 1533-position model. The record is from RNAcentral.